RNAcentral lists this ribosomal RNA (253 nucleotides) under uncultured bacterium. RNAcentral describes it as "partial 16S ribosomal RNA". It matches the Rfam family "Bacterial small subunit ribosomal RNA", at positions 524 to 776 of the family's 1533-position model. The record is from RNAcentral.
UACAGAGGGUGCGAGCGUUGUCCGGAAUCACUGGGCGUAAAGGGCGCGUAGGCGGUCUCUUAAGCGUGUGGUGAAAGCCCGGGGCUCAACUCCGGGUCGGCCGUGCGAACUGGGGGACUGGAGCUUGUCAGAGGCAGGCGGAAUUCCGGGUGUAGCGGUGGAAUGCGUAGAGAUCCGGAAGAACACCGGUGGCGAAGGCGGCUCGCUGGGACGGUACUGACGCUAAGGCGCGAAAGCGUGGGGAGCGAACAGG